Molecule: long non-coding RNA, 578 nt
Filed under: Brassica napus (rape)
Lineage: Eukaryota; Viridiplantae; Streptophyta; Magnoliopsida; Brassicales; Brassicaceae
Description: long non-coding RNA (BNAP_LNC010433)
Source: RNAcentral
GCACAUAAUGUUGAGAGUAUCGGGAACGACAAUGCUUGAUCUUCAUUCUUGCUAGAUUAGGCACAUUAUUGUGUAGCCAUAGGAUGGAGGUGAGUGUUGUGAAGUUUGAUUUGGAAGUAUGAGAAAGUUUAAGGAAAAGAGUGAACUCUUGUGUUUAAUUGACUAGUCUUUAUGGUAUAAGUAGAGAAACUUCUAGCUCGAUUUGUGAAAAGUCUUGGCCCCCAAACAAAAACAAAAAAAAAGAAAAAAAGGAAAGGGCGCUAGCAAAGUUGUUUAGAGCUAAGAUUUGGGUAGAAGUUAAGAAAAUCCUUUAUAGAUUUCAAAGAAAAAGAGUUUUAUGUGCAAAGUGUUCUUGGGAUCUUUUGGUGAGAGAUGGGAGUUGGGUUUGACAUUAUGAAGUGAUUGUGUAACUUGUAUGUUUGGGAAAAAGGUAGAACAAUGGAGAUUGAGCAUUGUAUGCAUGAGUUGGUCCUUUCUUAGAUAUAUUAUGUGCAAUGUCAAGGCUACUCGUUUUGAGAGUAAACCACUUUAAAAGAUCAUGGAUUUUGAACCUCGUGACCCACUUGAAUAAAAGCCUU